ACAAGCUAAAAGAUACAAAGGGAAAAGUGUGACUGCUCUGACAGCAAAAACAAGCAAAUAUCUCCAGAGGGGAUUAAUCCUUCUGCUUCAAAGUAACUAAAACAAAGAAAGCUGAGCCAGCUUCACUGGAAACAACACCUGUCCAUCAGACAAGGAUGAGCUAAU
This 165-nucleotide long non-coding RNA is filed under the name Piliocolobus tephrosceles (Ugandan red Colobus). Its description in RNAcentral is "Non-coding RNA LOC285194 (ENSPTEG00000021738.1)". It matches the Rfam family "Non-coding RNA LOC285194". From Rfam's summary of the family: Deletion of this gene is associated with poor survival of osteosarcoma patients. The record is from RNAcentral. Lineage: Eukaryota; Metazoa; Chordata; Mammalia; Primates; Cercopithecidae.